ACGCUGGCGGCAGGCUUAACACAUGCGAGUCGAACGGUAACAGGAAUUAGCUUGCUAAUUUGCUGACGAGUGGCGGACGGGUGAGUAAUGCUUGGGAAUCUGGCUUAUGGAGGGGGAUAACUACGGGAAACUGUAGCUAAUACCGCGUAAAAUCUUCGGAUUAAAGGGUGGGACUUUCGAGCCACCUGCCAUAAGAUGAGCCCAAGUGGGAUUAGGUAGUUGGUUAGGUAAAGGCUGACCAAGCCGACGAUCUCUAGCUGGUCUGAGAGGAUGACCAGCCACACUGGAACUGAGACACGGUCCAGACUCCUACGGGAGGCAGCAGUGGGGAAUAUUGCACAAUGGGGGGAACCCUGAUGCAGCCAUGCCGCGUGAAUGAAGAAGGCCUUCGGGUUGUAAAGUUCUUUCGGUGACGAGGAAGGUUGAUAGGUUAAUAGCCUAUCAAAUUGACGUUAAUCACAGAAGAAGCACCGGCUAACUCCGUGCCAGCAGCCGCGGUAAUACGGGGGGUGCGAGCGUUAAUCGGAAUAACUGGGCGUAAAGGGCACGCAGGCGGUGACUCAAGUGAGAUGUGAAAGCCCCGAGCUUAACUUGGGAAUUGCAUUUCAUACUGGGUCGCUAGAGUACUUUAGGGAGGGGUAGAAUUCCACGUGUAGCGGUGAAAUGCGUAGAGAUGUGGAGGAAUACCGAAGGCGAAGGCAGCCCCUUGGGAAUGUACUGACGCUCAUGUGCGAAAGCGUGGGGAGCAAACAGGAUUAGAUACCCUGGUAGUCCACGCUGUAAACGAUGUCGAUUUGGGGAUUGGGCUUUGAGCUUGGUGCCCGUAGCUAACGUGAUAAAUCGACCGCCUGGGGAGUACGGCCGCAAGGUUAAAACUCAAAUGAAUUGACGGGGGCCCGCACAAGCGGUGGAGCAUGU
RNAcentral lists this ribosomal RNA (918 nucleotides) under uncultured bacterium. Its description in RNAcentral is "bacterial SSU rRNA". It matches the Rfam family "Bacterial small subunit ribosomal RNA", at positions 33 to 942 of the family's 1533-position model. The record is from RNAcentral.